AUACCUUUCUCGGCCUUUUGGCUAAUUAAGAUCAAGUAUAGUAUCUGUUCUUAUCAGUUUAAUAUCUGAUAUGUGAGUCAUUGACUCACACGAUAUUAACUCUAAAGGUCCACCACGGUAGCUUGCUAUUGGGACCUUCAAGAGUCGCCUUGAACUAUGAUCCUAUAUAUA
This 171-nucleotide small nuclear RNA is filed under the name Solanum tuberosum (potato). RNAcentral describes it as "snRNA U2". It matches the Rfam family "U2 spliceosomal RNA". Rfam says of the family: U2 is a small nuclear RNA (snRNA) component of the spliceosome (involved in pre-mRNA splicing). The record is from Rfam by way of RNAcentral. Lineage: Eukaryota; Viridiplantae; Streptophyta; Magnoliopsida; Solanales; Solanaceae.